GUUAUAUCUAUUGAUAUUGCUAUCACACAGAUUUAGCAAUAAUUACUUUUUUGUUUUCAGAAACCAAUAAAUUUUGGCACUUUCUAAUAAAGUUGUUGCAUAGUCUUACAUGUGAAGAAAGACUAGUGGAAUAAUGCUGAAUAACUUUCAGAUGUUUAUUGGUUUUGUCAAAAAAAGAGCAUAGAAAUCAAUACAUAUUUUGAUUUAUUUUUUCAAUGUUUAAAAACCAAUAAAUUUUGGCACUUUCUAAUAAAGCUGUUGCAUAGUCUUACAUGUGAAGAAAGACUAGUUGAAUAAUGAUACGUAUGACUUUGGUGACUUCUUAAUAAAGCUUUUGCAUAGUCUGAUAUGUGAAGAAAGACUAGUGGAAUAAUGGUGAAUAAUUUUGAGAAGUUUUUUGGUUUUGUCAAAAAAAAAGCACAGAAAUCAAUAUUUUUAUUUUUAUUUAUUUUUUCAAUAUAUAAUUAAAUAUUUUAGCAUAUAAAUUUCGUUAUAUCUAUUAAAAUUGCAAUCACCCAGAUUUACCUUAAUUCAUUACCUACCGAGUGUAAUGGAAUUUAACUACAAUGUUAUAGUUUUGGUUUUUUUCAUAAAAAAGUGUAGAAUAUAAUUCAAAUUUUGACUUAUUUAUUACAUUAAUAAGUAAAUAUCUUACACUAUCAUUUUAAUUGUAUCGUGAAUGACGUGAACGAUUUCCUUUUUUAAGGACUAAAGGUGAACGUGACCUAAUCAAUUUCUUUUAGUGAACGUUCCGAACACUGCUUUUUUAUUUUAGUGAACAUAUGUAAUAUUUGUGCUAUUUAUUCCAUAGUUAUACACAAUGACUUUUUUUAUAAAAUGAAAUGGCGGGCUGGUCUCGACCAUUUUAUUUUGAUGAUAAAAGUGUUCAUAACAUCAUGCCAUUUACCGUUAAGCUUUGCGCUACGAAAUAAAGAAAAUGAAAAUUAAGAGGUUAGCAUCACUUUUAUAGUGUUGUAUUGUGGUGUGCAGACCAAUCAAAAUCGUUGGCGGGAAUACCAUUUUAUUUAAUCGUUACAAACACACUGUCGAUAGUGUUGGUACCUCUUGGUAUCUGUUGUUUGUCUUUCGAUGAUUCACUGUUUUCUUUAAUUUACUUGGGUUCCGCCACACGGUUGACGUCUCCAACGCCGUAAACUCAUUUCAGAUAUUUUCAUUGACAAGUCUUCGAUAUGAAUCCCAGGUGAGUAACAAAUAUAAUAUUCAUGCACAUGCACGAGCUUCCGAAUUUACGGUAACUCGGUUUUUAUCCGCAGUUUUCGUUGUUUGCAAAUGUUAUCCUAGUACCUAUUUACUGUUAUUGUUUCAAUAUUUAAAGUUUCAAAUGAAUAUAUUUGAAAUUAAAAUCAUAUUUUUCGAUUCCACCAGAAUUUAAGUCUUAAAUAGGAAUGAUUUUUUUCAACUGGUCGGCUGUGUGCAUAGUGCCCAAGUAUUUGCUUAGUUUUAUCACUAGGAAAUUCUUAUCAAAAUGUAACUCAAAGUACACUUCAGAUAUUAAAAACAUAAUACAGAUACUUUAUAAAUUGUAUUUUUAUUUUUGGGUUGAGUCAUAUAUGUAUAUGGAUUUUAAUAUUUCCUGCAGGUUGAUUCUUAAAAAGAAAUUAAAAAAAUUUUAAUUUUUUGCGUUUAUUUUUUGAAAGAACGUGGACGUGAACGAGUUUCUUUAUUGAGGACUGAACGUGAACGUGAACAAAUCAAUUUUUUUAGUGAACGUUCCGAACACUGCUUUUUUCAUUAAGUGAACAUGUGUAAUGUUUGUGUUACUUAUUCCAUAAUAAUACACAGUGACUUUUAAAAAAAAAAUAAAAUGGCGGGCUUGUCGUGAGCAUUCAAUUUCGAUGAUAAAAAUGUUCGUAACAUCAUACCAUAUACCGUCAAGCUUGGCUCUACGAAAUAAAGAAAAUGAAGAGGUUAGCGUCACUUCUAUAGUGUUGUAGUGUGGUAGGCAGCCCAAUCAAAGUCGUUGGCGGGAUUACCAUUUUUUUCCGUUACAUACACACUGUCGAUAGUGUUGAUACCUCUUGUCCAAUCGUCCAAUCAUCGUCUUUUAUUAAGUUGUGGAGAUUGUAUGUAUUUGUUCUAUUAUCUGUUGUUUGUCGUUCGGUGAUUCACUGUUUUCUUUCAUUUACUUGGAUCCCGCCACACGGUUGACGUCUCCAACGCCGUAAACUCAUUUCAGAUAUUUUCAUUGACAAGUCUUCGAUAUGAAUCCCAGGUGAGUAACAAAUAUAAUAUUCAUGCACAUGCACGAGCUUCCGAAUUUACGGUAACUCGGUUUUUAUCCGCAGUUUUCGUUGUUUGCAAAUGUUAUCCUUUCCCAUAUAAUCUGCACAUGACUGAGGUCCGAAUAGUUUUUUUCAAAAAAAAUUCAUAUCUUGUAAUUCAUCGGAUAUUUUGGUGAUGUCGCCGCCGUCAUCAUUAUCCAAAUGUAGGCGAUGGUGGUUAUAGGUAAAUGUUCGAUCGUACAAAUAAUAAAUCACGAAAUCCAUUUCGAAAUUAUAAUGGAUGCCUAUCAUCACUUUUCCAAUCGCGUAACUUGAGAGUUGACAGUAUUAAGUGUUAUGCAUUGCCUUUCUCUUACUUUGUAGUCCUAAGUGACCAAGUAGAAUAUUAUACAAUGCACAUAUGUCUUCGCCUCCUGUCUUCGAUGGUUUUCGGACUUAAGUACCUUAUUUAUGCGCGUUUUUGUUUUUAUCAACUAUCAGGAUCGACUAAUUGGUACACAAAUGAUGUUCGCAGUCAUGUUAUCAUAUACCUAUCAAACGAACAAAUAAUAAUAAAAAAAAACUACUUUUUACUACAGGUAUGUAUACAAAUACGUAAGACAUGAAUAUGUCUUAAAGCUAAUGACUUAUUUACAUAAACUGCCCCUAUAGCUGGUUCAUGACGUCAUUUUAAUGCUCUCCGUGUCAAACAUUGUAGUGAAUCAUAAGCAUAAUAUUAAUAAUAUCAUACAAAUUAUAUGAUUUGUAAGGCAUAAUACCUAUUUCAAAUAAAUAAUAGAUAUAUUUUGAUAUUUCAAUAAUCAACAUAUUAUUGUAAUUUUA
Molecule: long non-coding RNA, 3065 nt
Filed under: Rhopalosiphum maidis (corn leaf aphid)
Lineage: Eukaryota; Metazoa; Arthropoda; Insecta; Hemiptera; Aphididae
Description: uncharacterized LOC113550507
Source: RNAcentral